ACGAACGCUGGCGGCGUGCCUAAUACAUGCAAGUCGAACGGUCUUUCUAUGGAAGCUUGCUUCCACUGAGAAGAUAGUGGCGGACGGGGUGAGUAACACGUGGGGUAACCUGCCCAUAAGAGGGGGGAGUAACAUCCGGAAACGGGUGCUAAUACCGCAUAGUUUUCUUGAUCGCAUGAUUGAGAAAGGAAAGACGGCCUUUGUGCUGUCGCUUAUGGAUGGACCCGCGGCGUAUUAGUUAGUUGGUGAGGUAAUGGCUCACCAAGACGAUGAUACGUAGCCGACCUGAGAGGGUGAUCGGCCACACUGGGACUGAGACACGGCCCAAACUCCUACGGGAGGCAGCAGUAGGGAAUCUUCCGCAAUGGACGAAAGUCUGACGGAGCAACGCCGCGGUGAGUGAAGAAGGGUUUUUUCGGAUCGUAAAACUCUGUUGUCAGAGAAGAACAAGUUGGAGAGUAACUGCUCCAGCCUUGACGGUAUCUGACCAGAAAGCCACGGCUAACUACGUGCCAGCCGCAGC
RNAcentral lists this ribosomal RNA (523 nucleotides) under uncultured bacterium. RNAcentral's name for it is "bacterial SSU rRNA". It matches the Rfam family "Bacterial small subunit ribosomal RNA", at positions 29 to 518 of the family's 1533-position model. The record is from RNAcentral.